GACGAACGCUGGCGGCGUGCUUAACACAUGCAAGUCGAACGGAAAGGCCCAGCUUGCUGGGUACUCGAGUGGCGAACGGGUGAGUAACACGUGGGUGAUCUGCCCCUGACUUUGGGAUAAGCCUGGGAAACUGAGUCUAAUACCGGAUAUAACCUUACAUCGCACGGUGUGUGGUGGAAAGCUUUUGCGGUUGGGGAUGGGCCCGCGGCCUAUCAGCUUGUUGGUGGGGUAAUGGCGUACAAAGGCGAGGACGGGUAGCCGACCUGGGAGGGUGAUCGGCCACACGGGGAUGGGGACACGGCCCGGACGCCAACGGGAGGAAGCGGGGGGGAAUAUGGCACAAGGGGCGAAGGCCGGAUGCAGCGACGCCGGGUGGGGAAUGACGGCCUUCGGGUUGUAACCCUCUUUCACCAGGGACGAAGCGUGAGUGACGGUACCUGGAGAAGAAGCACCGGCAAACUACGU
RNAcentral lists this ribosomal RNA (465 nucleotides) under uncultured bacterium. RNAcentral describes it as "partial 16S ribosomal RNA". It matches the Rfam family "Bacterial small subunit ribosomal RNA", at positions 28 to 506 of the family's 1533-position model. The record is from RNAcentral.